UACAGAGGGUGCAAGCGUUAAUCGGAAUUACUGGGCGUAAAGCGUGCGUAGACGGUUACAUAAGUCGGGUGUGAAAGCCCCGGGCUCAACCUGGGAAUUGCAUUCGAGACUGCGUAGCUAGGGUGCGGAAGAGGGAAGCGGAAUUUCCGGUGUAGCGGUGAAAUGCGUAGAUAUCGUAAGGAAGACCAGUGGCGAAGGCGGGUCUCUGGACAGUUCCUGACGCUGAGGCACGAAGGCCAGGGGAGCAAACGGG
RNAcentral lists this ribosomal RNA (253 nucleotides) under uncultured bacterium. RNAcentral describes it as "partial 16S ribosomal RNA". It matches the Rfam family "Bacterial small subunit ribosomal RNA", at positions 524 to 776 of the family's 1533-position model. The record is from RNAcentral.